UGUUGUGUGUAGAGUUUUGAGAGGAAAAAAAUUCAUCCAUUUUGGAAUAAGGCUGUAACAAAACAACACGUGGACAAAGUGAAGCGCUGUGAAGACUUUCUGGAUGCUCUGUAGAUGUUUCCUCCUCUUGUUAAGUGGUCGGGUUGAAGUUGUUCACAGUUAUGUGCUGAGUAUAUUUUAUAGUUCUUAUUAAAGUGCACACAGUCAGCUACAUUUAUGCAAAUUGUUGAGAAAA
This is a long non-coding RNA of Thalassophryne amazonica, 235 nucleotides long. RefSeq lists it as uncharacterized. The transcript has 2 exons. The record is from RefSeq and is a predicted model, not a curated record. NCBI's taxonomy places the organism in Eukaryota, Metazoa, Chordata, Actinopteri, Batrachoidiformes, Batrachoididae.